RNAcentral lists this ribosomal RNA (896 nucleotides) under uncultured marine archaeon. Its description in RNAcentral is "SSU rRNA". It matches the Rfam family "Archaeal small subunit ribosomal RNA", at positions 455 to 1354 of the family's 1478-position model. The record is from RNAcentral.
GUGCCAGCCGCCGCGGUAAUACCGGCGGCUCUAGUGGUCGUCGCUUUUAUUGGGCCUAAAACGUCCGUAGCCUGUUUGGUAAAUCUGAGGGUAAAUCCACCAGCUUAACUCGUUGAAUUCUGCAGAGACUGCCCGACUAGGGACCGGGGUAGGUAUGAGGUACUCUGGGGGUAGGGGUAAAAUCCUGUCAUCCUCAAAGGACCACCUGUUGCGAAGGGGUCAUACUGGGACGGAUCCGACGGUCAGGGACGAAACCUAGGGGCACGAACCGGAUUAUAUACCCGGGUAGUCCUAGGUGGAAACGCUGGGGAUUUGGUGUGUGGGGUCCGCAAUGGGCCCCAUGUGCCAGACUGAAGAUGUUAAAUCCACUGGCUGGGGAGUACCGUCGCAAGGCUGAAACUUAAAGUAAUUGGCGGGGGAGCACUGCAACGGGAGGAGAGUGCGUUUUAAUUGGAUUCUACGCCGGAAAACUCACCAAGGCCAAGUGUUAGAUGAAGAUCAGUGUAACGAACUUAUCGGAUUAUCAGAAAGGUGGUGCAUGGCGGUUGUCAGUUCGUACUGUAAAGCGGUAUCUUAAGUCAUAUAACGAACGAGACCCGCAUCCCUAUUUGCGACCCUCAUGUCGGCAUGAGGCGCACCAUAGGGAGAUCGCUGGUGCGAAACCAGAUGAGGCCGCGGGCAACGACAGAUCAGUAUACCCCGAAAGUCUUGGGCUACCCGAGCGCUACAAAGAACAGGACAAUGGGAAGCCACGCCGAGAGGCGGGGCUACCCCGAAACCUGUUCGUAGUUCGGAUGGAGGGCUGUAACUCGCCCUCGUGAAGCUGGAUUCCGUAGUAAUCGUGUUUCAACAAAGCACGGUGAAUAUGCCCCUGCUCCUUGCACCCCCCGCCCGUC